This 891-nucleotide ribosomal RNA is filed under the name uncultured Acinetobacter sp. RNAcentral's name for it is "bacterial SSU rRNA". It matches the Rfam family "Bacterial small subunit ribosomal RNA", at positions 33 to 918 of the family's 1533-position model. The record is from RNAcentral. Lineage: Bacteria; Pseudomonadati; Pseudomonadota; Gammaproteobacteria; Moraxellales; Moraxellaceae.
ACGCUGGCGGCAGGCUUAACACAUGCAAGUCGAGCGGGGAAGAGUAGCUUGCUACUUUACCUAGCGGCGGACGGGUGAGUAAUGCUUAGGAAUCUGCCUAUUAGUGGGGGACAACAUCUCGAAAGGGAUGCUAAUACCGCAUACGUCCUACGGGAGAAAGCAGGGGACCUUCGGGCCUUGCGCUAAUAGAUGAGCCUAAGUCGGAUUAGCUAGUUGGUGGGGUAAAGGCCUACCAAGGCGACGAUCUGUAGCGGGUCUGAGAGGAUGAUCCGCCACACUGGGACUGAGACACGGCCCAGACUCCUACGGGAGGCAGCAGUGGGGAAUAUUGGACAAUGGGGGGAACCCUGAUCCAGCCAUGCCGCGUGUGUGAAGAAGGCCUUUUGGUUGUAAAGCACUUUAAGCGAGGAGGAGGCUACCGAGAUUAAUACUCUUGGAUAGUGGACGUUACUCGCAGAAUAAGCACCGACUAACUCUGUGCCAGCAGCCGCGGUAAUACAGAGGGUGCAAGCGUUAAUCGGAUUUACUGGGCGUAAAGCGCGCGUAGGUGGCCAAUUAAGUCAAAUGUGAAAUCCCCGAGCUUAACUUGGGAAUUGCAUUCGAUACUGGUUGGCUAGAGUAUGGGAGAGGAUGGUAGAAUUCCAGGUGUAGCGGUGAAAUGCGUAGAGAUCUGGAGGAAUACCGAUGGCGAAGGCAGCCAUCUGGCCUAAUACUGACACUGAGGUGCGAAAGCAUGGGGAGCAAACAGGAUUAGAUACCCUGGUAGUCCAUGCCGUAAACGAUGUCUACUAGCCGUUGGGGCCUUUGAGGCUUUAGUGGCGCAGCUAACGCGAUAAGUAGACCGCCUGGGGAGUACGGUCGCAAGACUAAAACUCAAAUGAAUUGACGGGG